RNAcentral lists this ribosomal RNA (404 nucleotides) under Fusobacteriota bacterium. RNAcentral describes it as "Fusobacteria bacterium partial 16S ribosomal RNA". It matches the Rfam family "Bacterial small subunit ribosomal RNA", at positions 355 to 776 of the family's 1533-position model. Lineage: Bacteria; Fusobacteriati; Fusobacteriota. The record is from RNAcentral.
UGGGGAAUAUUGCACAAUGGAGGGAACUCUGAUUCAGCGACGCCGCGUGAGUGAUGAAGGAAUUCGUUUCGUAAAACUCUGUUCUAUGGGAAGAAAAGGACUGUACCAUAGGAGAAAGCUCCGGCUAAAUACGUGCCAGCAGCCUCGGUAAUACGUAUGGAGCGAGCGUUGUCCGGAAUUAUUGGGCGUAAAGGGUGCGCAGGCGGCUUUACAAGUUGGAUGUGAAAUAUUGUGGCUCAACCACAAACGUGCAUCCAAAACUGCAAAGCUUGAGUUAAGGAGAGGUAAGUGGAAUUCCUGGUGUAGCUGUGGAAUGCGUAGAUAUCAGGAGGAAUACCGGUGGCGAAGGCGACUUACUGGACUUAAACUGACGCUCAGGCACGAAAGCGUGGGGAGCAAACAGG